GGAGGCAUAGUUCAAUUGAUAGAGCAUCUGCCUAGCAAGCAUAAAACCCUGAGUUCAAACCCCAGUGCUGUCA
This 73-nucleotide transfer RNA is filed under the name Dipodomys ordii (Ord's kangaroo rat). It matches the Rfam family "tRNA". Rfam says of the family: Transfer RNA (tRNA) molecules are approximately 80 nucleotides in length. Their secondary structure includes four short double-helical elements and three loops (D, anti-codon, and T loops). The record is from Rfam by way of RNAcentral. Lineage: Eukaryota; Metazoa; Chordata; Mammalia; Rodentia; Heteromyidae.